UUUGCGAAACAACCAAAUUGCAUUAAGGGAAAUGCUGGGGAAUUGUUUUCAUCUAAACAUUAUGAAAAAUGAAGACCAGACGAUGCAGAUAACCAGCGAUGGCAUCAACCACAUAGUUGAGUAAUUUUUAGUAGUGUUACUUGUUAGAACAGCGGCAUUCUUCUCGUAAGUAAUCGUUUGAUCACCUAGAACACUUUCGUGUGUUGCUUUUCCUUUCCUGUCACUCUCGGUGAAUUCAUCGGAGCUGCCGUUGCUUCCAGGCCGUCGAUCCCCGUCGUUCACCGCCGAAGGGAUCGCCCCAGCUGUAACAUCCAAUCAUGUUAGAAAAUUCCUCUAGAGUGAUCGAUUCUUGCAACUUUGUUUGCCUUUUCAAAUAAAAUCUACCUCGGCGUA
Molecule: long non-coding RNA, 393 nt
Organism: Daphnia magna
Lineage: Eukaryota; Metazoa; Arthropoda; Branchiopoda; Diplostraca; Daphniidae
Exons: 3
Source: RefSeq, a predicted model, not a curated record